UGAAGGUCCUACUGUGUGCCAGG
This 23-nucleotide microRNA is filed under the name Mus musculus (house mouse). RNAcentral describes it as "mmu-miR-493-3p". Its record names the gene mmu-miR-493-3p. The record is from miRBase by way of RNAcentral. Lineage: Eukaryota; Metazoa; Chordata; Mammalia; Rodentia; Muridae.